This 366-nucleotide ribosomal RNA is filed under the name uncultured organism. Its description in RNAcentral is "bacterial SSU rRNA". It matches the Rfam family "Bacterial small subunit ribosomal RNA", at positions 526 to 896 of the family's 1533-position model. The record is from RNAcentral.
CGGAGGAUCCAAGCGUUAUCCGGAAUCAUUGGGUUUAAAGGGUCCGUAGGCGGUUUAGUAAGUCAGUGGUGAAAGCCCAUCGCUCAACGGUGGAACGGCCAUUGAUACUGCUAAACUUGAAUUAUUAGGAAGUAACUAGAAUAUGUAGUGUAGCGGUGGAAUGCUUAGAGAUUACAUGGAAUACCAAUUGCGAAGGCAGGUUACUACUAAUGGAUUGACGCUGAUGGACGAAAGCGUGGGUAGCGAACAGGAUUAGAUACCCUGGUAGUCCACGCCGUAAACGAUGGAUACUAGCUGUUGGGGGCAACUUCAGUGGCUAAGCGAAAGUGAUAAGUAUCCCACCUGGGGAGUACGUUCGCAAGAAUG